RNAcentral lists this ribosomal RNA (472 nucleotides) under uncultured bacterium. RNAcentral describes it as "bacterial SSU rRNA". It matches the Rfam family "Bacterial small subunit ribosomal RNA", at positions 32 to 508 of the family's 1533-position model. The record is from RNAcentral.
AAUCAACGCUGGCGGCAUGCCUAACACAUGCAAGUCGAGCGAGAAAGUGUAGCAAUACAUGAGUACAGCGGCGCACGGGUGAGUAACACGCGGAUAACCUGCCUCACAGUGGGGAAUAACACCGGGAAACCGGUGCUAAUACCGCAUAUUCUGACGAGGUCUGCGGAUUUCGUCAGGAAAGGAGCAAUUCGCUAUGAGAGGGGUCCGCGGCUGAUUAGCUAGUUGGUGAGGUAAUGGCUCACCAAGGCCACGAUCAGUAGCCGGUCUGAGAGGACGGUCGGCCACACUGGAACUGAGACACGGUCCAGACUCCUACGGGAGGCAGCAGUGGGGAAUUUUUCGCAAUGGGGGCAACCCUGACGAAGCAAUGCCGCGUGGAUGAUGAAGUCUCUUGGGACGUAAAAUCCUUUCGACAGGGACGAAGCCGCAAGGUUGACGGUACCUGUAGAAGAAGCCCCGGCUAACUCCGUGC